AUGUACCGCUUGUACACUGCGGUUCCUGCGCGCCGCGCGCGCCCGCCUGCCAACCGCUCGCUACGUUUUCUCACC
RNAcentral lists this small RNA (75 nucleotides) under Pseudomonas oryzihabitans. RNAcentral's name for it is "sX9 sRNA". It matches the Rfam family "Xanthomonas sRNA sX9". The record is from RNAcentral. Lineage: Bacteria; Pseudomonadati; Pseudomonadota; Gammaproteobacteria; Pseudomonadales; Pseudomonadaceae. RNAcentral also lists the same sequence under 1 other name.